UACGUAGGGUCCGAGCGUUGUCCGGAAUCAUUGGGCGUAAAGCGCGUGUAGGCGGUCCGGUAAGUCCGCUGUGAAAGCCAGGGGCUCAACCCUUGGAUGCCGGUGGAUACUGUCGGGCUUGAGUACGGAAGAGGCGAGUGGAAUUCCUGGUGUAGCGGUGAAAUGCGUAGAUAUCGAGAGGAACACCUGCGGCGAAGGCGGGUUGCUGGGCUGAUACUGACGCUGAGGCGCGAAAGCCAGGGGAGCGAACGGG
This 253-nucleotide ribosomal RNA is filed under the name uncultured bacterium. RNAcentral describes it as "partial 16S ribosomal RNA". It matches the Rfam family "Bacterial small subunit ribosomal RNA", at positions 524 to 776 of the family's 1533-position model. The record is from RNAcentral.